This 432-nucleotide ribosomal RNA is filed under the name uncultured bacterium. RNAcentral's name for it is "partial 16S ribosomal RNA". It matches the Rfam family "Bacterial small subunit ribosomal RNA", at positions 29 to 507 of the family's 1533-position model. The record is from RNAcentral.
ACGAACGCUGGCGGCAUGCCUAACACCUGCCAGUCGAACGAGACCUUCGGGUCUAGUGGCUCACGGGUGCGUAACGCGUGGGAACCUGCCCUUAGGUUCGGAAUAACUCCCCGAAAGGGGUGCUAAUACCGGAUAAUGUCUUCGGACCAAAGAUUUAUCGCCUUUGGAUGGGCCCGCGUUGGAUUAGCUAGUUGGUAGGGUAAAAGCCUACCAAGGCGACGAUCCAUAGCUGGUCUGAGAGGAUGAUCAGCCACACUGGGACUGAGACACGGCCCAGACUCCUACGGGAGGCAGCAGUGGGGAAUAUUGGACAAUGGGCGAAAGCCUGAUCCAGCAAUGCCGCGUGAGUGAUGAAGGCCUUAGGGUUGUAAAGCUCUUUUACCCGGGAUGAUAAUGACAGUACCGGGAGAAUAAGCUCCGGCUAACUCCGUG